RNAcentral lists this long non-coding RNA (602 nucleotides) under Callithrix jacchus (white-tufted-ear marmoset). RNAcentral describes it as "lncRNA (ENSCJAG00000052729.2)". The record is from RNAcentral. Lineage: Eukaryota; Metazoa; Chordata; Mammalia; Primates; Cebidae.
ACUUCUAAGUUUUAAAACCCCGCUGCCCCUUACCUGUGCGGACUCUUUCUCCAGAUCCCCUCCCACGGCAACUUGGGAGAUGUCUCUCCCUCUUUACCUGUACAGAUGUUCCUCUCUGGAAUCCCCUCCCACAACAAGGUCAGACAGACCUGAAUUUGAUAGCAACAGAGCUUCAGCAAUAACAGCAGAUGCCAUCUUAGAUUAAUAUGGUGUCAGAAGUGGGAUCCAAAGUAGAGCUUCUAAUGAUCCCCAGGAAUGCUGAGUGACCAAAUGAGAUACCUGAUGGAGUCACUUGUGUCCACUUUCAGGACAGCUGAGGAUUUGUGGGUUGGCACUUUGACAUGUAUCAUGAAGGCCAUAAAAAUUGGUUCCCAAGAAAGAAACAGGAACAUCGUAGGGGGCAGAAGAAGAAAGAUGCUCAUUUUCCUGAGGAAGCAGGAUAGAAGACUCUCUUUACUUCACCUUGUAUGCAUAAAGAACAUAAAGGAAGAUGUGGCUAAACUGGUUAUCUUUUGGAGAUAGUUACUGAUAUCUGAGGACAUUGUUCAUAAUACUUGCCAGAGGUUGACUCUAGAGAUGGUGGUCAAGUGUUUCAGAAAAAG